AUGGCCGGCGCCGGCGCCGGAGAGGACGACGCGGCGUGGGAGCGCGCCAUCAGCGCGGCCGUCAAGAGCGCGCCCCUCUCCCCCUUCUCCGCGCCCAAAACCCUAACCCUCGACGGCGCCGUCAAGUCCUCCACCGGCCGCCUCCCCUCGCCGGCCCUCUUCGACCGCUUCCCCUCGCUCGAGGAGCUCUCCGUCGCGGGCGCCCGCCUCUCCUCGCUCGCGGGCCUGCCCCGCCUCCCGGCCCUCCGCCGCCUCUCCCUCCCCGACAACCGCCUCGCCGGGGCCGACUCCCUCGCCGCCGUCGCCCAGUCCUGCGGCGGGACCAUCCGCCACCUCGACCUCGGCAACAACCGCUUCGCCGCGGUCGAGGAGCUCGCCCCGCUCGCGCCGCUCGGGGUCGAGUCGCUGGACCUGUACCAGUGCCCCGUCACCAAGCUCAAGGGGUACCGGGAGAAGGUGUUUGCGCUGGUUCCCAGCUUGAAGUACUUGGAUGGCGUCGAUGCCGAGGGCAAUGACCGCCUGGAGUCCGAUGAGGACGAGGAGGAGGAUGAGGAUGAGGACGAGGAGGGGGAUGAAGAGGGGGCGGAGGACGGUGAGGGGGAAGGAGAUGAAGAGGACGGAGAGGAAGAGGAAGGCGAUGAAGAAGAAGAUGGCGAGGAAGAGGAAGGAGAUGAAGAUGAAGAGGAAGGCGACGAGGCUGAAGACGAAGAGGAUGAGGCUGAGGACGACGAACCGGAUUCAGGCGCGGCCGAGAAAAGCGAGGUUGCCAACGGAAACAAGUCUGCAGGAUCUGCCCUGCCAAGCAAGAGGAAAAGGGACAAUGAAGACGGCGGCAACUGA
RNAcentral lists this ribosomal RNA (840 nucleotides) under Triticum aestivum (bread wheat). RNAcentral's name for it is "partial small subunit ribosomal RNA". The record is from RNAcentral. Lineage: Eukaryota; Viridiplantae; Streptophyta; Magnoliopsida; Poales; Poaceae.